UACGUAGGGCGCAAGCGUUGUCCGGAAUAUUGGGCGUAAAGAGCUCGUAGGCGGUUUGUCGCGUCUGCUGUGAAAUCCCGAGGCUCAACCUCGGGCUUGCAGUGGGUACGGGCAGACUAGAGUGCGGUAGGGGAGACUGGAAUUCCUGGUGUAGCGGUGGAAUGCGCAGAUAUCAGGAGGAACACCGAUGGCGAAGGCAGGUCUCUGGGCCGCAACUGACGCUGAGGAGCGAAAGCAUGGGGAGCGAACAGG
This 252-nucleotide ribosomal RNA is filed under the name uncultured bacterium. Its description in RNAcentral is "partial 16S ribosomal RNA". It matches the Rfam family "Bacterial small subunit ribosomal RNA", at positions 524 to 776 of the family's 1533-position model. The record is from RNAcentral.